RNAcentral lists this long non-coding RNA (1441 nucleotides) under Theobroma cacao (cacao). Its description in RNAcentral is "long non-coding RNA (TCAC_LNC000627)". Lineage: Eukaryota; Viridiplantae; Streptophyta; Magnoliopsida; Malvales; Malvaceae. The record is from RNAcentral.
UGCGAAGCAUUUUUGAUACGAUAGUAAGACAGGUUGAAUCACCAUCUACAAGCAAAACUGUAACACCUGCACAUGCAGUAUUUAUGCUGGAUUCAACUGAGAUAGCCAUCUCGCUAUUCAUGUGGAUGGGCAAGAAUGAUGUUAUCAAGUUCAAGCACACAAAGAGAGAGAGAGAGAGAGAGAGGGGGGGGGGGAGGGGAGAAGAGAAGCUUAUUCUGUAGACAUAAUAUAUGCUCCUUUACUACCUUGAGAUCCUUAUAUAAUACAAAUUUAGCUAUUUAGGUAUACUAUUCUCACUUACCAAAAGAACUGCUCUAACGCACCAUUUUUUUGUCUACACUUCUGGUUACGUUAGCAAUGACGUAAAACUAUUACCUGCCUAUAUUCUAUAAAUGAGUGGUAAUUACAGCCAACAACUAAAAGUUGAUUCUCAAAUGCAGAGAAAAAAAUGCCUGAAAAACACGCUAAAAAUGUUAAAAUAGAAUGCAGUGAGUGGACAGCUCAACAGCAUUUUUUGACAUAUUUUUUAAACUGAUUAAACUUGCCAUGUACAAUGGAUAAUCGGUUUCCAUCUUAAGCAGAUCACAAAAUCUCUCAUGUAAAACACCAUUAAACAAGUUGCCUUAUAAACACUUUUCCUUUUCUCAAUAAAAAAUACUUUGACUCGUUUGACUGCAAGGAAGUUGAGGUCAUUAAUGUGCUAAAAAUGUUUUCAUAAUAUCACCUCUCCUAAACUUAUUAGGACAUUUAGAUCUCGUAAAUGAAUUAUAGUAUAAGAAAUAAUAGCAAUACUAACAACAUGAUGAAAAUAGAGAAAAAUAUCAAAUAAAACCUUUUUACCUGUUGGCAAGCAGUGUUGAAGAGAUCACAAAUCCAAAGUUGAUGCACAAUAUCUUGGUACCUGAUUUCUCAUUUAUCAGAGCAUAAAGUCUAACCAUAACGGUCAGAUUUGUACAACAAGCGUAAUAAAUAGGGUUCUAUCCUAUACCGUUGACAAAUAGGCAUAAAGGUCUUAGUACGCUCAAAUACAUGCCAGUUAGCAAUUAAUGUAAGGCAGAACAGGUCAUGCAUACCAGGAAAAGUAUCCUCUGCUUGUGCAACUCAAACCCUCACAAUACUAAAGAACUCCUACCUUGACUACAUUCCAACGAGAUUAUGUCCAGCCAUUGCUAACAUGCAAAUCAAUGUUAUAGGCACCAAUAGAAGAAAAUUUGGCCUAAUGAUACCAUGCUAGCAAAAUAUUCCAGAAUGUCUAUCUACAUCUACGCCCAAGUUUAAGUGCCCACAGAAUACUCUGCUGCCAAGCAGUCUAUACUGAUGUAAAUGAGCCAUUGGCAGGUUAAGAAAUGCAUAACAAAUAUAUAAAUUUUAAUUUAUCAAACUGCUUUCUAUCCCCAUUGUGAUGAGUAGAGAGCAAGGAAACUACUGAGCACUGCAUAAA